UGGGGAACUUGUCCCGGUUGCUGGAGCAGGGACCAUUCAGAUAUCACCAUCUUUAAAAAUUUCCAAUUGAUAUCCGGACGGGGAUGACGAUUGGGCGUGGCACUGAACACCAAGGGUUGUAUUAUGUGGAUGAGAUAGCUCAAUCUGGCAGAGGAAUGCUGGCUCACGGAACUUCAGACCAGGAAGUCAAGUUAUGGCAUAGGCGGUUAGGGCAUCCGUCCUCAAGUUAUUUAAACAUUUUAUUUCCUAAUCUCGUUAAGAACUCCGUUUUUAAUUGUGAAACAUGUGUUUUGGCCAAGAGCCACAGACAAUCUUUUAAACUCAGUAAUACUAGAGUUGAUUCUGUUUUUUCCUUAA
Molecule: non-coding RNA, 357 nt
Organism: Salvia hispanica
Lineage: Eukaryota; Viridiplantae; Streptophyta; Magnoliopsida; Lamiales; Lamiaceae
Source: RefSeq, a predicted model, not a curated record